UCAUGUUUUGCACUUGUUUAUCAUUUUUCUUGUGAUUGUUGCUGCUUCCUGUCCAGUGCUUUUUUUUUUGUUUCACUUCCUGUUUAGGUUUGUUUUUCUACUGACUUUAGCCCUGCUCCUGAGCACUGUUCUCCUCACCUGUCCCUGAUUGACAAUCAGGAGGAUUCUCUAGCCAUCCUGACCUUACUGAUGGGGCUGGUUCGCUAGCCGCACCGUUCUGUCCUAUAUUGGAGUGGACGCUGCAGAGCCCACCCGGAACAAACAUCAUGUUGAAGGUCUUCAACACGAUGGAGGACGGGACUUGAUGAGGUGGUGAAAAGGCCAGGGAACUCAUCAUGACGUGGUAGAAGAUGGAGGAUGGAGUGGUAGAAGAUGGAGGAGAGAAAGAAGAUGAGCUGCUUCCAAACGCCAACGUGUGUCCUUCCCGCUGGCGGACGCAGGCCAGGAGAUGACGACAAUAAAUUCAUCCAAAGACUGUCACCUUCUAUGGUCAGACACUGAGAAAGACUACUUCCUCUGUUGUUUUUGGGCGCUUUUACUACGGGGCUUGGAAUUUCAGGGCCCCUUUUUCAGAGGCCUAUCUACAUGUAUUUCAAUAUGGAAUGCACUCCCAACAGACGUAAAAGAAAGGGCAUCUCUAUCCUCCUUCAAAACCGCACUAAAAGAACACCUACA
Entelurus aequoreus (snake pipefish) is the source of this 675-nucleotide long non-coding RNA. RefSeq lists it as uncharacterized. NCBI's taxonomy places the organism in Eukaryota, Metazoa, Chordata, Actinopteri, Syngnathiformes, Syngnathidae. The transcript has 6 exons. The record is from RefSeq and is a predicted model, not a curated record.